CUGCCUUGCUCCGCACUGCCUUGCUCUACUCCGGUCCGCCGUGCUUCGCCGCCGCUCCCAUCUUCUCCGGUCGCCGUCACCCCUCCUCGAAGGCCAUCUGCCAUUGCGGCCGUGAGCUUCCGGUGAGGCCGCCGCUGGUAUUCAAUUGGAAGGCAAAGCAAUCGAAGCAGAAUAGACAAUGGCUCUAAGGCGUAUGCUUGGAUUCUCUGAUGGAGAAUUGAUGCGGUCGGAUGCAAAACCAUGUUCGCGACUGAUGAGGCACACUGCUGGCAUUUGUUCAGUCGGAGGAGCAUUGGGCUUUUGGACGCUCUGCCGCUUGUAUUAUGGUCCUAGAAUAACAGUUCCUCGAACUCUUAGGUGGGCUGCUUGUGGUGCUGUCUCCAUGAGUGCAACCACAGCUUUGUUAGUUCGUCUACUCAGCCCUGAAUGUGAACCCCAAAACAUAGCUGCUUACGACCAGAAAAGAUGACGUUGGUGGUACGUUGCUACUUCUUUGGUGUCUACUAUGUGGUAGUCGAAGCUUCUUUGAAGAAACUCGUUGUAGCUAGAUAAAUGGAUGAGAUGCAAUAUAUAAAUCUGGGUGCCAGAAUGACAAGAAUCUGGGAGAGUUGAUCAACUCAUGUGUUGGAAUCAGAUGGAGUGGCAAAACCGGCAUGAUGCAGCAAAGAAGAAAAUAGAUAAAUAUUACUAUCACCUGCAGCAGCUGCCCCAACAACAUCUCUCUUGGAGUCCCUCUCGUUGAGAACCAGCCGAGUCUGGUAGUGGCCAUUUCUGGUGUAGAAAUCCGAGAGCGCCAUUGUGAUGCAGCUCAACCCCAUUUUUCCGACAUAAUCGUCCAUGUCUAGCACCACUCCAACCCUCACAGGGAAAGGCGUGCUCUGCGCCGUGGCGCUAUUCAUGGACAAAGUGUUCAAGAAGAGAACCAAAACAACAAGAGGAGCCUCCAACUUCAUCUUGUUCAGCUCUCAAAAUUCAUGAGUUGAUGAUUAUUUUGGGCACAGUUAUACAUCCAAAAUUUGGAGAGGUAUUUGCAUGCUGUCAUUGACUCUAUAAGUUACUUGUGCCAACAUAAUAUUAAUUGUCGAUGGUUACAUUGAAAUCGAUUUGUGGGAUAGAAUAUGAGAUGGAAUUUUCCUGCGA
Salvia miltiorrhiza (redroot sage) is the source of this 1140-nucleotide RNA transcript. RefSeq lists it as uncharacterized. The record is from RefSeq and is a predicted model, not a curated record. Lineage: Eukaryota; Viridiplantae; Streptophyta; Magnoliopsida; Lamiales; Lamiaceae. The transcript is spliced from 5 exons.